GGUGUGACCGAGCCCUGGCUUUGGGCAUCCUACAUAUCUCGGGUUAUAAGAGAAUCAGGUCACGUGUAGUUCCAAUGGGUGUAGGAAUGAGUGGAUGAAUUGGAGAGUCGAGUUGAGGUCCCGUCGAGUUUCCGGUUCGUUGCUCCUUUUAUUACAAAAUAUAAAACUGGAAACAAAAGUACAAGAUCCUAUCUAUUCUAUUUGUCUUGCUC
This 212-nucleotide long non-coding RNA is filed under the name Capsicum annuum. RNAcentral's name for it is "long non-coding RNA (CANN_LNC000500)". Lineage: Eukaryota; Viridiplantae; Streptophyta; Magnoliopsida; Solanales; Solanaceae. The record is from RNAcentral.